This 455-nucleotide ribosomal RNA is filed under the name uncultured bacterium. Its description in RNAcentral is "bacterial SSU rRNA". It matches the Rfam family "Bacterial small subunit ribosomal RNA", at positions 340 to 786 of the family's 1533-position model. The record is from RNAcentral.
UACGGGAGGCAGCAGUGGGGAAUAUUGCACAAUGGGCGAAAGCCUGAUGCAGCUAUGCCGCGUGUAUGAAGAAGGCCUUAGGGUUGUAAAGUACUUUCAUCGGGGAGGAAAACAAAACUAAUAAUUUUAUUUCUUGACGUUACCCGAAAAAGAAGCACCGGCUAACUCCGUGCCAGCAGCCGCGGUAAUACGGAGGGUGCUAGCGUUAAUCAGAAUUACUGGGCGUAAAGAGCACGUAGGUGGUUUUUUUAAAGUCAGAUGUGAAAUCCCUGGGCUUAACCUAGGAACUGCAUUUUGAAACUGAAAUACUAGAGUAUCGUAGAGGGAGGUAGAAUUCUAGGUGUAGCGGUGAAAUGCGUAGAUAUCUGGAGGAAUACCUGUGGCGAAAGCGGCCUCCUAAACGAAUACUGACACUGAGGUGCGAAAGCGUGGGGAGCAAACAGGGAUUAAAUACC